RNAcentral lists this small RNA (117 nucleotides) under Pedobacter sp. AK013. Its description in RNAcentral is "Flavo-1 RNA". It matches the Rfam family "Flavo-1 RNA". Lineage: Bacteria; Pseudomonadati; Bacteroidota; Sphingobacteriia; Sphingobacteriales; Sphingobacteriaceae. The record is from RNAcentral.
CCCUAAACCCGGUAGUAACGGAAAUCCUUUUUAUUGCUUAAAACAGCAUUAAACUAUACUUAUUGCUGGCAUCGAUAAAUUGCAAUAAAAAGAUUGAAGUGCAUAACGGGGCUACAG